Molecule: long non-coding RNA, 1036 nt
Organism: Homo sapiens (human)
Lineage: Eukaryota; Metazoa; Chordata; Mammalia; Primates; Hominidae
Gene: MPDU1-AS1
Product: MPDU1 antisense RNA 1
Source: Ensembl
UCUUUCUGACGCUACCCACCCUCACUCUAGUGGCGUAAAAUAAGUCUCAGUCAGGGACCACGUUUUGGACGCGCUGUUGGAAUUGUAAAGCUUGCCGAAGCUGCACGCCUGCGCGGUUAGACCUCCCACGCCUUUGUUGACGCUUCCAGUUUGGAAGCCAGAUUUACACCCCUGCCUUUCUCCGCUCCUCCUGCUGGGCGCCAUCUUGUCUUCUCCUAGCACACUUUGUAUUGUUCGAAGUUGAGAGAGAAGGAGCCGGAGUCUCCGAGGUGGCGUUGGGUGGGGGCGCUACUAGCUCCCGUUCUCUCAGCGUCUCUAGAGGGAAGGGCGCCGGUGGGAGCAGGAGAGUCUGCACCGGGCAGGCCUCCUUAGGUGCCGGGUUGCGCGCAGGGCCCUGUGCUUGUCUCGCCUCCGGUUGGCUCAGGCCUCGGAGCAUGAGUGCGCCGGCAACUGCUGGGCCCGGGACAGUGAAGCAGAGGAGGAGGUGGGGGAGGCGAGCCCAGGUCGGGGAAGGGCAGCACCUGAAUCACCCUUGGGGCCCAGACCCCCAAGAGUCUCCGGGGAGCCGAGGCCUGGCGAGGCAGUCCCGGGAUUCGCCCCCUCCCCGCUGGCCCGAGGGCGCACCACGUGCUGGGCAGAGACUUCGGCGAGGCCGAGUGGACCCUGCAGCGCUGCUUGGGAAAGGGCACCUUGGACUACCUGGUGGGGGCGUUGUGCUUCGUUACCGACCGCCGGGACGCCAACCCACGGUGCCCACCCGUGCGUCAUUCCGCUGUGGAUCAGCCCUUUGGCGGCCCCCCUCCAAAGUCUACAAGGUCACACGGAUGUCUGCAGGCAGAGCAGCUGCUUCCGGCUCCCUGAGACCCAGCCAUGGAAGGCAUAGAAAGGCAUGUGACAAGAAACUCAUGGCUUUUAAUCCUGGCAGGACAAGGAAAACCCCGUCAAAGAUUUGCAUAAAUUUUGCUGCUCUCCUGCUGGGGGGGGGGGGGGGGCAGUUCGUCACAUUUAAUAAAAUUCUCUCCCUCCCUUCUCCCGA